AACGAACGCUGGCGGCAUGCCUAACACAUGCAAGUCGAACGAGACCUUCGGGUCUAGUGGCGCACGGGUGCGUAACGCGUGGGAACCUGCCCUUAGGUUCGGAAUAACUCCCCGAAAGGGGUGCUAAUACCGGAUAAUGUCUUCGGAUCAAGGAUUUAUCGCCUUUGGAUGGGCCCGCGUUGGAUUAGCUAGUUGGUAGGGUAAAAGCCUACCAAGGCGACGAUCCAUAGCUGGUCUGAGAGGAUGAUCAGCCACACUGGGACUGAGACACGGCCCAGACUCCUACGGGAGGCAGCAGUGGGGAAUAUUGGACAAUGGGCGAAAGCCUGAUCCAGCAAUGCCGCGUGAGUGAUGAAGGCCUUAGGGUUGUAAAGCUCUUUUACCCGGGAUGAUAAUGACAGUACCGGGAGAAUAAGCUCCGGCUAACUCCGUG
RNAcentral lists this ribosomal RNA (433 nucleotides) under uncultured bacterium. RNAcentral's name for it is "partial 16S ribosomal RNA". It matches the Rfam family "Bacterial small subunit ribosomal RNA", at positions 29 to 507 of the family's 1533-position model. The record is from RNAcentral.